GGAUGCGAUCAUACCAGCACUAAAGCACCGGAUCCCAUCAGAACUCCGAAGUUAAGCGUUCUUGGGCGAGAGUAGUACUAGGAUGGGUGACCUCCUGGGAAGUCCUCGUGUUGCAUUCG
This 119-nucleotide ribosomal RNA is filed under the name Aegilops tauschii subsp. strangulata. The record is from RNAcentral. Lineage: Eukaryota; Viridiplantae; Streptophyta; Magnoliopsida; Poales; Poaceae.